This 1403-nucleotide ribosomal RNA is filed under the name metagenome. Its description in RNAcentral is "bacterial SSU rRNA". It matches the Rfam family "Bacterial small subunit ribosomal RNA". The record is from RNAcentral.
GACUUCGGUCUGGCGGCGAGUGGCGAACGGGUGAGUAAUGCAUCGGAACGUACCUUUCAGUGGGGGAUAACGUAGCGAAAGUUACGCUAAUACCGCAUAUUCUGUGAGCAGGAAAGCAGGGGAUCGCAAGACCUUGCGCUGAUGGAGCGGCCGAUGUCAGAUUAGCUAGUUGGUGGGGUAAAGGCUCACCAAGGCGACGAUCUGUAGCGGGUCUUAGAGGAUGAUCCGCCACACUGGAACUGAGACACGGUCCAGACUCCUACGGGAGGCAGCAGUGGGGAAUUUUGGACAAUGGGCGCAAGCCUGAUCCAGCCAUGCCGCGUGAGUGAAGAAGGCCUUCGGGUUGUAAGCUCUUUCGGCCGGGAAAAAAUCGCUUGGGUUAAUACCCUGAGUGGAUGAUGGUACCGGAAUAAGAAGCACCGGCUAACUACGUGCCAGCAGCCGCGGUAAUACGUAGGGUGCGAGCGUUAAUCGGAAUUACUGGGCGUAAAGCGUGCGUAGGCGGUUUUGUAAGACAGGCGUGAAAUCCCCGGGCUCAACCUGGGAACUGCGUUUGUGACUGCAAGGCUAGAGUAUGGCAGAGGGGGGUGGAAUUCCACGUGUAGCAGUGAAAUGCGUAGAGAUGUGGAGGAACACGAAUGUCGAAGGCAGCCCCCUGGGCCAAUACUGACGCUCAUGCACGAAAGCGUGGGGAGCAAACAGGAUUAGAUACCCUGGUAGUCCACGCCCUAAACGAUGUCAACUAGGUGUUGGGUGGGUAAAACCAUUUGGUACCGUAGCUAACGCGUGAAGUUGACCGCCUGGGGAGUACGGCCGCAAGGUUAAAACUCAAAGGAAUUGACGGGGACCCGCACAAACGGUGGAUGAUGUGGAUUAAUUCGAUGCAACGCGAAAAACCUUACCUACCCUUGACAUGCCAGGAACUUGCCAGAGAUGGCUUGGUGCCCGAAAGGGAGCCUGGACACAGGUGCUGCAUGGCUGUCGUCAGCUCGUGUCGUGAGAUGUUGGGUUAAGUCCCGCAACGAGCGCAACCCUUGUCGUUAAUUGCCAUCAUUUAGUUGGGCACUUUAACGAGACUGCCGGUGACAAACCGGAGGAAGGUGGGGAUGACGUCAAGUCCUCAUGGCCCUUAUGGGUAGGGCUUCACACGUCAUACAAUGGUCGGUACAAAGGGUUGCCAAGCCGCGAGGCGGAGCCAAUCCCAGAAAGCCGAUCGUAGUCCGGAUCGCAGGCUGCAACUCGCCUGCGUGAAGUCGGAAUCGCUAGUAAUCGUGGAUCAGCAUGUCACGGUGAAUACGUUCCCGGGUCUUGUACACACCGCCCGUCACACCAUGGGAGCGGGUUCCGCCAGAAGUAGGUAGCCUAACCGCAAGGAGGGCGCUUACCACGGCGGGGUUCGUGAC